This is a non-coding RNA of Manis javanica (Malayan pangolin), 1436 nucleotides long. The record is from RefSeq and is a predicted model, not a curated record. NCBI's taxonomy places the organism in Eukaryota, Metazoa, Chordata, Mammalia, Pholidota, Manidae.
GGGCGCCGCGACCCCGCCGGGAGGGCGGAGGGGGCGGGGGCGGAGUCGCCAUCUUGGACUCGGCUCGACCCCGUCUGGUGACCGGCGACGCUGAGCCAGGCUCGGCGCAGGGGGUCGGGGGAUUUAUUCUGUAAGGCAAAUCAUGGUCUCUGAGAUGCAUCCCACAUGAGAAGAGCCCAGGGAGGCAGUGGAGCACUUGUUGGAGUCAAGUUGACUUGGCUAGAACCAGCAGCCAUGUGAGACUGGAAAAUGGAAAUGAAACCAGAAUGUGAGCUUGUUGAAUGAAUUGGACUCCCCAGAGAUCUGGGGGAGAAGAAAACCUCCCACUCGCCUUUGACUUUUGGAUUUCUUGUUUCCCUUGUAAUUGGAUUGCACUUUGAGAAGUCCAUCUGGAAGUUCACUUUUUAUUUGUUGCAACUGCAAGUAGAGUUUAUCAUCAAAAGACAAACCCCUGAAGGAAGAAAAACAGUGGGGGCAGUGAGGAAGUUGCAGAAUCACCUCAAAAAUCCAGUGACGGUGUUUAAGCUGUGUCACGAGCAUCCCUGUGGAGAGGCCCAGAGUGGUGAGAACCCAAGGCCUCCAGCCCAGCCACGCAAGGUCCUGUCACCCAGCGAAGCCUUCAAGGGCCUGAGGCCUGGCCAUCAUCUCACCUGCAGUCUCCUGAGCCACUACAAGCCAAAGCCCCCAGCUAAGCCACUCCCGGAUUCCUGGCCCUUGGCAACUGAGAUGCGUGCUCGCUGCUUUAAACCUAGAGAAGGAGCAUUAUAGGGAGCUUGGCAUCCUAUGGGUAGAAGAACAACGAAGGCAAGUCCUUCCCGACCUAGCCACAGGAUAGAACAUCUAUGAACUAAAUCUGGCCCUGGUUUUGCCGGAGGUAGGAAGGUGCCCAGAUGACAAAUUGGAUUUCCCCGACUCCCUUCCAGAUAAAAGCAGCUUACUUCUUCGGGCCAAUAGAAUGAAGGAAUAAACUGUGGUGCUGUACUUCUGGAAAUGCUCCCUGAAAGGGGGACUGACUCAGCUGAGAGACUACUGAUGAACCCUAUCUCACUACACGUGUGGGCCUUGUCUGCGGAUGAACUAGACUCCCAGGAGCUAGGCGAGGGGAGCAUCCAGAGUCCCCACCCUGACCUAUGAGGGAACGAGGCUCCAGGUCAGCAGAGCACCAAGAUCGUGCAGCUCCUAAGCACCGGCCAGGUGUCAGAACCCAGACGCGUGCUUUCUGAUUCUCGAGUGCUUCACCCACACAGGAUCAGUGGUUGCGGCCAGCUGGAUUGUACAGGAGGCUGGCCAGAGCCCCACGGCGCCAUCCCCACUCCUCCUGCAACCCUUUGUUCAAGACAGGCAGCACUGGAACAAGGCAGAACACCUGGGUCCAGUUCUUGUCUCUGACACGUACCUUCGCCUCUCUAACCUGAAGUGCUGUGCAAAUGAGAGCU